RNAcentral lists this ribosomal RNA (465 nucleotides) under uncultured bacterium. Its description in RNAcentral is "partial 16S ribosomal RNA". It matches the Rfam family "Bacterial small subunit ribosomal RNA", at positions 28 to 507 of the family's 1533-position model. The record is from RNAcentral.
GACGAACGCUGGCGGCGUGCUUAACACAUGCAAGUCGUACGGUAAGGCCCUUUCGGGGGUCCCCGAGUGGCGAACGGGUGAGUAACACGUGAUUAACCUGCCCACAACUUUGGGAUAACGCUAGGAAACUGGUGCUAAUACUGGAUAUGUGCUCCUUCUGCCUGUUGGGGGUUGGAAAGCUCCGGCGGUUGUGGAUGGACUCGCGGCCUAUCAGCUUGUUGGUGGGGUAGUGGCCUACCAAGGCGGCGACGGGUAGCCGGCCUGAGAGGGUGACCGGCCACAGUGGGACUGAGAUACGGCCCAGACUCCUACGGGAGGCAGCAGUGGGGAAUAUUGCACAAUGGGCGCAAGCCUGAUGCAGCAACGCCGCGUGCGGGAUGACGGACUUCGGGUUGUAAACCGCUUUCAGCAGGGACGAAGCUUUUUGUGACGGUACCUGCAGAAGAAGCACCGGCUAACUACGUG